GCUCGCUCAGUUGGUUAUAGCUUGGUGCUGAUAACGCCAAGGUUGCAGGUUUGAUCCCUCUAUGGGACA
Molecule: transfer RNA, 69 nt
Filed under: Podarcis lilfordi (Lilford's wall lizard)
Lineage: Eukaryota; Metazoa; Chordata; Lepidosauria; Squamata; Lacertidae
Description: tRNA.Ile
Source: RNAcentral